GAGUUUGAUCCUGGCUCAGAACGAACGCUGGCGGCGUGCCUAACACAUGCAAGUCGAACGUGAUCCAGAGCUUGCUCUGGUGAAAGUGGCGCACGGGUGAGUAACGCGUGGAUAACCUACCCUGGUAUCCGGGAUAACAUUCCGAAAGGGGUGCUAAUACCGGAUAAGCCCACGGGCUCUUUGGAGCUUGCGGGAAAAAGUGGCCUCUAUUUAUAAGCUACUGUAUCAGGAUGGGUCCGCGUACCAUUAGCUAGUUGGCGGUGUAACGGACCACCAAGGCGACGAUGGUUAGCUGGUCUGAGAGGAUGAUCAGCCACACUGGAACUGAGACACGGUCCAGACUCCUACGGGAGGCAGCAGUGGGGAAUUUUGCGCAAUGGGGGAAACCCUGACGCAGCAACGCCGCGUGAGUGAUGAAGGCCUUUGGGUCGUAAAGCUCUGUCAGAGGGGAAGAAAUGAUAUAGUGCUAAUACCACUUUAUCUUGACGGUACCCUCAAAGGAAGCACCGGCUAACUCCGUGCCAGCAGCCGCGGUAAUAC
RNAcentral lists this ribosomal RNA (540 nucleotides) under uncultured Geobacteraceae bacterium. RNAcentral describes it as "bacterial SSU rRNA". It matches the Rfam family "Bacterial small subunit ribosomal RNA", at positions 9 to 526 of the family's 1533-position model. The record is from RNAcentral. Lineage: Bacteria; Pseudomonadati; Thermodesulfobacteriota; Desulfuromonadia; Geobacterales; Geobacteraceae.